Molecule: non-coding RNA, 3354 nt
Organism: Gossypium hirsutum (cotton)
Lineage: Eukaryota; Viridiplantae; Streptophyta; Magnoliopsida; Malvales; Malvaceae
Source: Rfam
CGACCUUAGGUUAGGCGGGAUUACCUACUAAGUUUAAGCAUAUCAUUAAGCCGAGGAAAAGAAACUUACCAGGAUUCCCCUAGUAAUGGCGAGCGAACCGGGAAAAGCCUAGCUUAAUAAUCGAGCACCAUCGGCAUCUGAAUUGUAGUAUGUAGAACCAUCCUCAGCGGGGGACCAGGCCCAAGUCUUUUAUAAAGGGGCACCGGAGAGGGUGAGAGCCCCGUCGUGCUCGGACCCUAUCACACCACGAGGCGCUAUCUACGAGUCGGAUUGUUUGGGAAUGUAGCCCUGAUUAGGCAGUAAAUUUCAUCCAAGGCUAAAUACGGGUGAGAGACUGAUAGCGAACAAGUACCUCGAAAGAAAGAUAAAAAGGACUUUGAAAAGAAAGACAAAGGGUGCUUGAAAUUGUCAGGAGGAAAGCGGAUCGGGGUUGGCAAUGAGCCCCGAGAGGAUGUGGAGCGGUGAGAGACGGUCCACCAAUCGGCUAGGGCAUGGACCAACGUGGGUCAUGGUGGCAGCCUAUGCCCGGGACUUUGAUACACCCAUGGAGACGUCGUAGCCUCAAUCGUGAGAUCCAGCACCUGUCGUCUUAACGUGGUUCGGCACCUGAAUGCUCCGGGCGUCGGCUUAUGGGCUCCCCAUUUGGCUCGUCUUGGAACACGGGCCAAGGAGUCUGACAUGUGUGUGAGUCAACGGGUUAAAAACCCUUAAGGUGAAAUGAAACUGAUUGGCGGGAUCCCUCACGGGUGCACCGUGAACCGGACUUGAUCUUCUGAAAAGGGUUCGAGUGAGAGCAUGCCUCUUAAGACUCCAAAGAUGGUGAGCUAUGCCUGAGCAGGGCAAAGCCUGUUGAAACUCUAGUGGAGGCCCGCAGCGAUACUGCCGUGCAAAUUGUUCGUCUAACUUGGGUAUAGGGGUGAGAGACUAAUCAAACCAUCUAGUAGCUAGUUCCCUCUGAAGUUUCCCUCAGGAUAGCUGGAGCCCUUUGCGAGUUCUGUCAGGUAAAGCCAAGGAUUAGAGGCAUCGGGGGUGAAACACCCUCGACCUAUUCUCAAACUGUAAAUAGGUAAGAUGGUGCGGCUACUUCAUUGAGCCGCGCCAUGGAAUCGAGAGCUCCAAGUGGGCCAAUUUAGGUAAGAAAAAAUGACUAUGCGGGAUGAACCGAAAGCCAGGUUACGGUGCCUAACUACGCGCUAACCUAUAACCCACAAAGGGUGUUAGUCGAUAAAGACAGCAAGACAGUGGUCAUGGAAGUCGAAAUUCGCUAAGGAGUGUGUAACAACUCACCUGUCGAAUCAAAUAGCCUCAAAAAUAGAUAGAGCUUAUGCGUACGACCUAUACCCGGUCGUCGGGGUAAGGGCCAGGCACCGAUGAAUAGGAGGGUGAGGUGGUCACUGCAAAACCCUGGGCGCGAGCCCGAGUGAAGUGGCCAUCGGUGUAGAUCUUGGUGGUAGUAGCAAAUAUUCAGAUGAGAACUUUGAAGGCCGAAAAGGGGAAAGGUUCCAUGUGAACGGCACUUACACAUGGGUUAGUCGAUCCUAAGAGACGAGGGAAGCCCGUCUGAUAGUGCGCCUAAUGCGAGUUUUGAAAGAGAAUCGGGUUAAAAUUCUAAAACAGGGAUGCAGCGGCUGACAAUAAUGUUAGGGACUCUGAAAACGUCAGCAAGGGCCUCGAAAUGAGUUAUCUUUUCUUUUUAAUGACCUGCCCACUCUAGAAAGGGCUCAGCUGGAGGUAAGGUCCAGCGGCCGGAAGAGCACCGCAUAUCAUGUGGUGUCCGAUGCGGCCCCGACAGCCCUUGAAAAUCUAGAGGACUGAGUGUCGAUCGUACUCAUAACAGCAUCAGGUCUCCAAGGUGAACAGCCUCUGGUCAAUGGAACAAUAUAGGCAAAGGAAGUCGGCAAAAUGGAUUUGUAGCCUCGGGAAAAGGAUUGGCUCUAAUAGUUGGGCAUGGGGGUCCUAGUCCCGAACUCGUCGCCUGUCGGUGUACUGCUCAAGCUACUCUCAUGGCGAGAGCGGGUCGUCACGUGCUGCCCAGGGGACGAACUGGGAACGGCUCCCUCGGGGGCCUUCCCCGAGCGACGAACAGUUGACUCAAAAACAGGUAUAGACAAGGGGAAUCUGACUAUUUAAUAAAAACAAAGCAUUGCGAUGGUCCCUAUGGAUGCUCACGUAAUGUGAUUUCUGCCAAGUGCUCUGAAUGUCAAAGUGAAGAAAUUCAACCAAGCGUGGGUAAAUGGCGGGAGUAACUAUGACUCUCUUAAGGUAGCCAAAUACCUCGUCAUCUAAUUAGUGAUGAAUGUGAAUGAAUUAACUAGAUUCCCACUGUCCUUGUCUAUUGUCUAGUGAAACCACAGCCAAAGGAACGAGCUUGGUAGAAUCAUUGGGGAAAUAAGACCCUGUUGAGCUUGCCUCUAGUCCAACUUUGUAAAAUGACUUGAGAGGUGUAGAAUAAGUGGGAGCUCUCGGGCAAAAUUAAAAUACCACUACUUUUAACGCUAUUUACUUAUUCCGUGAAUCAGAGGCGGGGCACGACCCCUCUUUUUAGACCCAAGGUCGGCUUCAGCUGAAUGAUCCGAGCAGAAGACAUUGUCAGGUGGGGAGUUUGGCUGGGUAGCACAUCUGUUAAAAGAUAACGCUGGUGUCCUAAGAUGAGCUCAACAAGAACAGAAAUCUCAUGUGGAACAAAAGGGUAAAAGCUCAUUUAAUUCUGAUUUCCAAUACGAAUAUUAACAGUGAAAGCAUGGCCUAUUGAUCCUUUAAACCUUCAGAAUUUGAAGUUAGAGGUGUCAGAAAAGUUACCACAGGGAUAAUUGGCUUGUGGAAGCCAAACAUUCAUAGCGAUGUUGCUUUUUGAUCCUUCGAUGUCGGCUCUUCCUAUCAUUGUGAAGCAGAAUUCACCAACUGUUGGAUUGUUCACCCACUAAUAGGGAAUGUGAGCUGGGUUUAGACCAUCGUGAUACAGGUCAGUUUUUCCCUACUAAUGCCGCAUCGCAAAAUUAAUUCAACCUAGUGCGAGAGGAACCAUUGAUUCGCACAAUUGGUCAUCGCGCUUGGUUGAAAAGCUAGUGGCACGAAGCUACCAUGCACUUGAUUAUGACUGAAUGCUUCUAAGUCAGAAUCCAGACUAGAAGUGACGCACGCGCUCAUCACCCGAUUCCCAACCCACAGUAGGGGCCUCUGUCCCCUAAGGGCACAUGUCGUAAGUGUAGUGACUGCAGCGGACAAGUUGCGGGCGCCUCCUUGAAACGUAAUUCCUACCGAUGGUAGAAUCCUUUGCAGACAACUUAAAUAUGCGACUGUUAGAAUUUCGGCACCCCUACGGUGCAGCAAAAAUUAAUUCAUCUGGUGAUCCAA